UAACAGAAGAUAGCUUGCUAUUUUGCUGACGAGUGGCGGACGGGUGAGUAAUGCUUGGGAAUAUGCCAAAACGUGGGGGACAACAGUUGGAAACGACUGCUAAUACCGCAUAAUGUCUUCGGACCAAAGCAGGGGAUCUUCGGACCUUGCGCGUUUUGAUUAGCCCAAGUGGGAUUAGCUAGUUGGUAAGGUAAUGGCUUACCAAGGCGACGAUCCCUAGCUGGUCUUAGAGGAUGACCAGCCACACUGGAACUGAGACACGGUCCAGACUCCUACGGGAGGCAGCAGUGGGGAAUAUUGCACAAUGGAGGAAACUCUGAUGCAGCCAUGCCGCGUGUGUGAAGAAGGCUUUCGGGUUGUAAAGCACUUUCAGUGGGGAGGAAAGGGUGCUGGUUAAUAACCAGUAUCUGUGACGUUACCCACAGAAGAAGCACCGGCUAACUCCGUGCCAGCAGCCGCGGUAAUACGGAGGGUGCGAGCGUUAAUCGGAAUUACUGGGCGUAAAGCGCGCGUAGGUGGUUAAUUAAGUCAGAUGUGAAAGCCCAGGGCUCAACCUUGGAACUGCAUUUGAAACUGGUUAACUAGAGUUUUGUAGAGGGUGGUAGAAUUUCAGGUGUAGCGGUGAAAUGCGUAGAGAUCUGAAGGAAUACCAGUGGCGAAGGCGGCCACCUGGACAAAGACUGACACUGAGGCGCGAAGGCGUGGGGAGCAAACGGGAUUAGAUACCCCGGUAGUCCACGCAGUAAACGAUGUCUAUUAGAAGUUUGUGGCUAUAUGCCGUGGGUUUCAAAGCUAACGCAUUAAAUAGACCGCCUGGGGAGUACGGCCGCAAGGUUAAAACUCAAAUGAAUUGACGGGGGCCCGCACAAGCGGUGGAGCAUGUGGUUUAAUUCGAUGCAACGCGAAGAACCUUACCAUCUCUUGACAUCCAGAGAAUCACCUAGAGAUAGAUGAGUGCCUUCGGGAACUCUGAGAC
Molecule: ribosomal RNA, 976 nt
Filed under: Psychromonas sp. Spedv5
Lineage: Bacteria; Pseudomonadati; Pseudomonadota; Gammaproteobacteria; Alteromonadales; Psychromonadaceae
Description: bacterial SSU rRNA
Rfam family: Bacterial small subunit ribosomal RNA
Source: RNAcentral